Molecule: ribosomal RNA, 484 nt
Filed under: uncultured bacterium
Lineage: Bacteria
Description: partial 16S ribosomal RNA
Rfam family: Bacterial small subunit ribosomal RNA
Source: RNAcentral
AUUGAACGCUGGCGGCAGGCCUAACACAUGCAAGUCGAGCGGCUGCAGAGUACUUGCUUCUGCAUUCAGCUGCCGACUGGCGGGUAAUUCCUAGGAAUCUCCCUGUUUAUUUUUUCUUAGGUCCGAAAACAGGCGCUCUUACGCUAUUCCUCCAUACGACCUACGUGUGGGAUCUUGGGACCUCCGGCUCUUGCAUGAUUCGAUGUCGGAUUAGCUAGUUGGUGGGGUAAAGGCCCACCAAGGCGACGAUCCGUAGCUGGUCUGAGAGGAUGAUCAGCCACACUGGAACUGAGACACGGUCCAGACUCCUACGGGAGGCAGCAGUGGGGAAUAUUGGACAAUGGGCGAAAGCCUGAUCCAGCCAUGCCGCGUGUGUGAAGAAGGUCUUCGGAUUGUAAAGCACUUUUGUUGGGAAAGAAGAGCAGUAAGUUAAUACCUCGCUGUUCUGACGGUACCAAAAGAAUAAGCACCGGCUAACUUCGUG